RNAcentral lists this ribosomal RNA (1550 nucleotides) under Salmonella enterica subsp. enterica serovar Montevideo str. 80959-06. Its description in RNAcentral is "bacterial SSU rRNA". It matches the Rfam family "Bacterial small subunit ribosomal RNA". Lineage: Bacteria; Pseudomonadati; Pseudomonadota; Gammaproteobacteria; Enterobacterales; Enterobacteriaceae. RNAcentral also lists the same sequence under 1 other name. The record is from RNAcentral.
AAAUUGAAGAGUUUGAUCAUGGCUCAGAUUGAACGCUGGCGGCAGGCCUAACACAUGCAAGUCGAACGGUAACAGGAAGCAGCUUGCUGCUUUGCUGACGAGUGGCGGACGGGUGAGUAAUGUCUGGGAAACUGCCUGAUGGAGGGGGAUAACUACUGGAAACGGUGGCUAAUACCGCAUAACGUCGCAAGACCAAAGAGGGGGACCUUCGGGCCUCUUGCCAUCAGAUGUGCCCAGAUGGGAUUAGCUUGUUGGUGAGGUAACGGCUCACCAAGGCGACGAUCCCUAGCUGGUCUGAGAGGAUGACCAGCCACACUGGAACUGAGACACGGUCCAGACUCCUACGGGAGGCAGCAGUGGGGAAUAUUGCACAAUGGGCGCAAGCCUGAUGCAGCCAUGCCGCGUGUAUGAAGAAGGCCUUCGGGUUGUAAAGUACUUUCAGCGGGGAGGAAGGUGUUGUGGUUAAUAACCGCAGCAAUUGACGUUACCCGCAGAAGAAGCACCGGCUAACUCCGUGCCAGCAGCCGCGGUAAUACGGAGGGUGCAAGCGUUAAUCGGAAUUACUGGGCGUAAAGCGCACGCAGGCGGUCUGUCAAGUCGGAUGUGAAAUCCCCGGGCUCAACCUGGGAACUGCAUUCGAAACUGGCAGGCUUGAGUCUUGUAGAGGGGGGUAGAAUUCCAGGUGUAGCGGUGAAAUGCGUAGAGAUCUGGAGGAAUACCGGUGGCGAAGGCGGCCCCCUGGACAAAGACUGACGCUCAGGUGCGAAAGCGUGGGGAGCAAACAGGAUUAGAUACCCUGGUAGUCCACGCCGUAAACGAUGUCUACUUGGAGGUUGUGCCCUUGAGGCGUGGCUUCCGGAGCUAACGCGUUAAGUAGACCGCCUGGGGAGUACGGCCGCAAGGUUAAAACUCAAAUGAAUUGACGGGGGCCCGCACAAGCGGUGGAGCAUGUGGUUUAAUUCGAUGCAACGCGAAGAACCUUACCUGGUCUUGACAUCCACGGAAGAAUUCAGAGAUGGAUGUGCCUUCGGGAACCGUGAGACAGGUGCUGCAUGGCUGUCGUCAGCUCGUGUUGUGAAAUGUUGGGUUAAGUCCCGCAACGAGCGCAACCCUUAUCCUUUGUUGCCAGCGAUUCGGUCGGGAACUCAAAGGAGACUGCCAGUGAUAAACUGGAGGAAGGUGGGGAUGACGUCAAGUCAUCAUGGCCCUUACGACCAGGGCUACACACGUGCUACAAUGGCGCAUACAAAGAGAAGCGACCUCGCGAGAGCAAGCGGACCUCAUAAAGUGCGUCGUAGUCCGGAUUGGAGUCUGCAACUCGACUCCAUGAAGUCGGAAUCGCUAGUAAUCGUGGAUCAGAAUGCCACGGUGAAUACGUUCCCGGGCCUUGUACACACCGCCCGUCACACCAUGGGAGUGGGUUGCAAAAGAAGUAGGUAGCUUAACCUUCGGGAGGGCGCUUACCACUUUGUGAUUCAUGACUGGGGUGAAGUCGUAACAAGGUAACCGUAGGGGAACCUGCGGUUGGAUCACCUCCUUACCUUAAAGAA